This 253-nucleotide ribosomal RNA is filed under the name uncultured bacterium. RNAcentral's name for it is "partial 16S ribosomal RNA". It matches the Rfam family "Bacterial small subunit ribosomal RNA", at positions 524 to 776 of the family's 1533-position model. The record is from RNAcentral.
GACGUAGGGCGCGGGCGUUGUCCGGAUUUAUUGGGCGUAAAGAGCUCGUAGGCGGCUUGUCGCGUCGUCUGUGAAAUCCCGCGGCUCAACUGCGGGCUGGCAGUCGAUACGGGCAGGCUGGAGUUCGGUAGGGGAGACUGGAAUUCCUGGUGUAGCGGUGAAAUGCGCAGAUAUCAGGAGGAACACCGGUGGCGAAGGCGGGUCUCUGGGCCGAUACUGACGCUGAGGAGCGAAAGCGUGGGGAGCGAACAGG